AACUACUUAAUCUACGUUUUAAAAUACCCAACACUAAAAACUAUUCAAAACUUAAUUAUAUAAUUAUAUUCUAUCCCAAAACUCCUAAAUAUACCAAAACUUCAUAACAAAUUACGACGAUACUUUAAAAAACAAUCCAUCUCAUCAAAUAAAAAAACUCCCCAAAUACAACUAUUCCCUCCGACUCACUAAAAUCAAAAAAAUCCUCUAUUA
This 213-nucleotide unclassified non-coding RNA is filed under the name Hevea brasiliensis (rubber tree). Lineage: Eukaryota; Viridiplantae; Streptophyta; Magnoliopsida; Malpighiales; Euphorbiaceae. The record is from RNAcentral.